UACGGGGGGGGUAAGCGUUGUUCGGAAUUACUGGGCGUAAAGGGCUCGUAGGCGGCCAACUAAGUCAGACGUGAAAUCCCCCGGCUUAACCUGGGAACUGCGUCUGAUACUGGACGGCUUGAGUAUGGGAGAGGGAUGUAGAAUUCCAGGUGUAGCGGUGAAAUGCGUAGAUAUCUGGAGGAAUACCGGUGGCGAAGGCGGCAUCCUGGACCAUUACUGACGCUGAGGCGCGAAAGCUAGGGGAGCAAACGGG
RNAcentral lists this ribosomal RNA (253 nucleotides) under uncultured bacterium. RNAcentral's name for it is "partial 16S ribosomal RNA". It matches the Rfam family "Bacterial small subunit ribosomal RNA", at positions 524 to 776 of the family's 1533-position model. The record is from RNAcentral.